UAUACAUGCAAGUCGAGCGAACUGAUUAGAAGCUUGCUUCUAUGACGUUAGCGGCGGACGGGUGAGUAACACGUGGGCAACCUGCCUGUAAGACUGGGAUAACUUCGGGAAACCGAAGCUAAUACCGGAUAGGAUCUUCUCCUUCAUGGGAGAUGAUUGAAAGAUGGUUUCGGCUAUCACUUACAGAUGGGCCCGCGGUGCAUUAGCUAGUUGGUGAGGUAACGGCUCACCAAGGCAACGAUGCAUAGCCGACCUGAGAGGGUGAUCGGCCACACUGGGACUGAGACACGGCCCAGACUCCUACGGGAGGCAGCAGUAGGGAAUCUUCCGCAAUGGACGAAAGUCUGACGGAGCAACGCCGCGUGAGUGAUGAAGGCUUUCGGGUCGUAAAACUCUGUUGUUAGGGAAGAACAAGUACGAGAGUAACUGCUCGUACCUUGACGGUACCUAACCAGAAAGCCACGGCUAACUACGUGCCAGCAGCCGCGGUAAUACGUAGGUGGCAAGCGUUAUCCGGAAUUAUUGGGCGUAAAGCGCGCGCAGGCGGUUUCUUAAGUCUGAUGUGAAAGCCCACGGCUCAACCGUGGAGGGUCAUUGGAAACUGGGGAACUUGAGUGCAGAAGAGAAAAGCGGAAUUCCACGUGUAGCGGUGAAAUGCGUAGAGAUGUGGAGGAACACCAGUGGCGAAGGCGGCUUUUUGGUCUGUAACUGACGCUGANGCGCGAAAGCGUGGGGAGCAAACAGGAUUAGA
This 751-nucleotide ribosomal RNA is filed under the name Priestia megaterium. Its description in RNAcentral is "bacterial SSU rRNA". It matches the Rfam family "Bacterial small subunit ribosomal RNA", at positions 50 to 782 of the family's 1533-position model. Lineage: Bacteria; Bacillati; Bacillota; Bacilli; Caryophanales; Bacillaceae. The record is from RNAcentral.